ACCUCCCAGGGUAUUAAGGCUGCACUUUUCUUUGGAGUCUCGUGCUGCUCAGGCUCAUGGCAGUGCUCCCUUUGAACUCUCUGUGGUUUGUAGUUCUCACCACUUGCUCAAAAUGAAGCAGAAUGCAACGGUUCAUAUAAUAUUAUGUCUCAGGAAGAGUGUAUGUAACAGUACCCGUGCUGAUAUGAGCCGGUUGACGCUUGGACAUCACAGACCUCUGUAUGGUGCUCCCAGAGGUCUGACAUGUAUUUUGCUAAAUCCUUCCAUCAAUAAAACCCAUGCUGCCUGCUUCUAGAUGGGUGAGAGGAGAAUGAUGGCAAAAGAAUUUGGUAUAUCCUUGCUCCCACCUUCCUGUUCUUGAAAGCACAGGACAUCUGUGGGAGGAUUAUCUCUGGAGGCCUUGAUGGAGAGUACCAACCAGUCUUCAUGUGAAGACACUCUGCGUUCCUCAGCACUUACCCGUGAUCUGCAUCCUUGCCAGGACCUUGCAGCUUGAGAGAUGUGUCCCCAGACCCCCCUAACCCAGCUGAGGAUGGAGGGAGCAGCCUGGUACACCCCAAGUACACUUCUCCUCCCAGUUAGGAAGACAUUAUUGCUGCCAGAGUACACGCUGUCCAUUCUUUAACCAGACAAGACUGGAUAAGAAAGGUAUAUGGAUGGUUUAUACAGGCAAGACAAGGGACAAAAAUACUGACUAAUCAUCUCCUUGCGGAGAUGCCAGUGGAAGUGAUUGAGACAAAGGGGCGUAGCAUCAUCUUGAUGCUGAAGAGCUUUCAGAGGAGGUAAGUGUGUGACUUCCCAGCAGAGCAAGUGGAGAAUAAGCAGCUGAAAAAUCUUUCUUCAUUUCUAAGAAAAACAGGAAUGGCCAGGCCAUUGCCGAGUGCUGACAUGUUUGUAUUGUUUGUGUUGCAUUGUUUUGUAAUCAAAAGUCAGUAUUUAUUGGACUAUACUCUCAAAAGGUCUCAUCUCAAAAUACUCUCAUAUCAGAAUCUGUGAUAAGACUAAAAACCCUGAUGGAAACUUAGCCCCAGCAAUUUUUUUUUCUGACAUCAGCUCUUCCGUGCCUUAAAGUAUAACCCCAAAGCCCUGAGCUCUCCACUAAGGAGGCUGGAUGUGGGAGCCAGCCAGCAGAGCCUGCUGCGUCCAAGCCCUCUUUGUAAGAGAGGUGGCUGUGGCUCUGGACAGUCUCUGGACUGCCUCCUUCCUUCUGCCUGCAGAGCACAGCCAUGGCCUCUCAGAAAGCUGCUGCUGGUGCCUGUCCUUGCCCUGUGGCUACACCAGCCUAGGGAGACCCUUCCAUGCAUCUUGCAUGCAUGGUAUAGCAGAUAAGCCACAAAUAGUUUGUGCCUACUUCAGUAAGUAGCUCACCGAUGUAGCAUACCAUUGUAAUGGAGAAAAAACCCUAAUUCCAUUAAAUUGGAUGUUAGGCAUAAUAGCUGGACCCUUAAGGUUAAAGAAAUCCGAUCCAUUCAGGUGGCACAGAACAGCCUUCAGUGCAUUGCACAGCCUAAGGAGAGAGCAGAGUGUUGCCCACUGUAUUUACUAUCAUGUUUGUUUUGGGAGCUAAAUUAUUCUUACUAAUUCUGCUAGCAGUGUAAUACGCUGUCUCAGUAAUGGAAAGCAUAUGAAAGCAAGCAGAUGGCGAGAGCAGAAAAAACCCAAGCAUGUCCUGAUAAUGUAGUAAGCAAGUUCAUUUUUUUGGCAUUAGGCUUUCAUAACCGAGGCAUGGUGAUAACAAGUACAGACACAUUUUUAAAGCGCAGUUCAUCAAAAAAUAUAGCCAGUUUCAUUGCAGAGCAAUGGAAGAUUACUUUGAGACUUUUAUAUAGAUAAAAGCUAGAUGUGAAUGUUGUUGAAUUAGACCCAUCAUUUAUUAUUGCUGGCAGAUGAGUGACAGCAGAUACUGGUCAGAGUGAUGCCAUCGCAGUCCUGUGAUCGCACGUAUCUUCACGAAUGUAGAGUUUCUCACCCGUUCACUUGCAAAUAUGUAGCCACCCUGUAUGCCAGAAAAACCACAGGCACUUUGAUACAGGGUGUUAUCGCAGUGGGCAGUAUUGGAAAUUCCAAGUAUUUUAUUUUGCUUCUAAAGCUUUCAGUCUCUGGUUGGAAGUUGUGAAGCUCAAGGCUGCUGCUGCUUCAAUAUCUGCGUAUCUGCAGCACGUGUGGAUCCCACCUGGUUUGGCCCCAUUCCCUGCGAGGAGGGCACUGCAUGGGGAGUGCUCAGCAUGUCUAGAGAAGAGUGGCCUCGCCUCUCUGCUGAAGCAAACAGUCCUGGCAUGGAGUUUUGGGGGGGAGGAGGCGGUGGAAGUAACUUGACUACCUCCAACCCACAUUUUUUUUGUUGUUUUUUUUUUGUCUCUCAGGCCAAGAUAUGGGCAGAAGCAAGGCCAGAUUCACUGUUUACACAAUCUAUCACUUUAAGGUUCUUCAGAGAAGGGAUACAUUAAUUUUUGUUAUGAUUUCACUUUGAAGCAGCGCAGCUGCAUCUUUGUGUGACAUGUCAAGUGGCUCCAGCCGUGCAUUGUGAGAUGGGGCUGCAAGCAAAGCCCUGCCCUCAGCUUCCAGGAGUUUGGUUCAGAGAGAGCAAGGGAGGAGGAGCUGCCAAUGCUGCUGUGUGGGGAGCAAGUGCCAGUUCAGGGAGUGAACAGAACUGAGCAGUGAUCUCUUCUGCAGGGAAGGGGUGAGGAGAGACGGCCCCCUUUCUCAUGAAACCAUGUAAUUGGUUAUAAUGCUCAUUUUUCACCAUUCAAUAGCACAGCGUGUUAAGUAAUGAAAGUUUUUAAAUAUUUCAUAUGCAUCUGGUUCGUUCCUGAUUUGAAGAAACAAAGGCAAGAAAGCCUUUCUGAUUGCUUGCUCCCUCUGAGGGCCUUGCUCUUGCUGCUUCCUGAGGAAAGUUGUCUCCCUUUAUCUUUUUUUAGCAAUGGAUGCUGAUUUAACCUCCCAGGAAAUCAUGUCUUUUCUUCUGUGUUGCUUUUAGUAUCUCCAGGAAGUGGCAGGUGGCACCACUCAGGAGAUGACUUUGAUGGCCCCAUGUCCUCUCUGUUUCAUUACCCAGGCAGGAGGUGGGACUGCUGUUACACCUUGUUCCCAGCUGUUUUCUGCUCCCAAGGCUGUGCCACCCAUCUCGUUGCUGUGGCUUUCUCUUGUGGGGCCUGGGGACAGAUGCAGAAGCCAGGUGACACGGAUGCUUUGCUGCCAGCGCGGGGCCUGAGGCUGUAUCCUGGUGGAGCCUGGGCAGGGGCUGAUCGGCUCAGGAGAGAUGGGAUGGGACAGGGUCUGCCCUAAUGCUGAAGGCCCAGCUCAAACCUCUGGGGGCGGGAGACCCUGUGCUGAUAGCCAGAAGUCAGAGCACGUUGCUUCCUUCUGCUGUGGUGUCUCUGCCAUCUGCAAAUCCCUCCAGCAGCGGCACCCUGCCUCUGCCUUGUUCCCACUUUGUUUAGGCUAAAGCCAGUGGGUCUGUCUUCAAAGCAAAGUGCGGCUUUCCCUGUGGAAAAAUCUCACUCCUGACUUUUGCUCUGUCCCCACAUCAAGCCAGCUUUCAGUGCACUGCCUGUAAGCAACUGUUAUUUUUUGUGUUUGUCCUGCAGUGAGCCAUAGCGUUCUGUGUCACCAUACCUCUAGACAAGGCUGUGAAAGCAGUUGAGGACUUUUCCAACAACUGAUGCCUGCUGCUGCUGCUCACAGCCAGCACAAAGCCUUCCCACUGCCAGGCCUGCCUGCUCUGGGCUGCUGUGUUUAUUUCUGGGGUUAGAGGGGAAGGGGGGGGAACUGUAUCUGGGUAUUUUAAUUAGAUAAUAAUAAUGGAAACAAGUGGCACUAUGGCCACUUCCUAAACAGAGACAUCUGUUUGUAGAGUCCUGGCCCUAUUGGAGAGCACUAGGUAGGACUCAUCAGGCCAAGUCGUCGCUGCAGCUGUGCUGGGCAGCCCUGGAGCCCACUGGCUCCUCACAGGGGUGCUGGAGCACACUGGGGGCAUCGCUCCCCUCCCACUGCCCAUGCACUGCUGGAUGUGGCACAGCACUGCUACAUACAAAACCCUACUGAAGUUAUUUGCCUCAGUCUCACACAUCUGAGUCUUGUAACUUUGCUGCUGGUUCAUUUUCAGGAGGGACAGGAUAUAUUACGGAGCUAAAUUCUCACGGGCAAAUAAUAAGUCCUAGCACCUGCUGGCUGGAACCCACAGGCUGUGACCUGUCUCCUCCAAUGUUUGUAUUUUCCUCUGCGGGAAAGAGCAACAUGGUAAAGAAUUCCUAUUAUUUCAAAUAUUUCACCAUGGUGUUAUCUAGCCUAGUCUAAACAAUGGUCCCGAUUGCUCUUGAGAGUUGUACUCUGCAGGAGAAAACGGUAACAAAUGUUGUUAUUCCCAACGUGAUCCCCCCCACUACGGGGACACAGAUAUUUGUGACAUGGAAUGGCAGUGUGCUCCUGGAAGCAUCAAUCCAGAUA
Molecule: long non-coding RNA, 4446 nt
Filed under: Gallus gallus (chicken)
Lineage: Eukaryota; Metazoa; Chordata; Aves; Galliformes; Phasianidae
Description: lncRNA (ENSGALG00010018346.1)
Source: RNAcentral